CGAAGGGUGCAAGCGUUGUUCGGAUUUAUUGGGCGUAAAGCGCGCGCAGGCGGGAUGGCAAGUCAGAUGUGAAAUCUCGGGGCUCAACUCCGAAACUGCGUCUGAGACUACUAUUCUAGAAUACUGGAGAGGGAUGGGGAAUUUCGCAUGUAGGGGUAAAAUCCGUAGAUAUGCGAAGGAACACCUGGAGCGAAGGCGCCAUCCUGGACAGUCAUUGACGCUGAGGCGCGAAAGCGUGGGUAGCAAACAGGAUUAGAUACCCUGGUAGUCCACGCCGUAAACGAUGAGCACUAGUUAUUGGGGGUAUUGACUCCCCCAGUGACGUAGCUAACGCAUUAAGUGCUCCGCCUGGGAAGUACGGUCGCAAGAUUA
This 372-nucleotide ribosomal RNA is filed under the name uncultured organism. RNAcentral's name for it is "bacterial SSU rRNA". It matches the Rfam family "Bacterial small subunit ribosomal RNA", at positions 526 to 896 of the family's 1533-position model. The record is from RNAcentral.